GAUGAACGCUGGCGGCGUGCCUAAUACAUGCAAGUCGAGCGAACGGACGAGAAGCUUGCUUUUCUGAUGUUAGCGGCGGACGGGUGAGUAACACGUGGAUAACCUACCUAUAAGACUGGGAUAACUUCGGGAAACCGGAGCUAAUACCGGAUAAUAUUUUGAACCGCAUGGUUCAAAAGUGAAAGACGGUCUUGCUGUCACUUAUAGAUGGAUCCGCGCUGCAUUAGCUAGUUGGUAAGGUAACGGCUUACCAAGGCAACGAUGCAUAGCCGACCUGAGAGGGUAAUCGGCCACACUGGAACUGAGACACGGUCCAGACUCCUACGGGAGGCAGCAGUAGGGAAUCUUCCGCAAUGGGCGAAAGCCUGACGGAGCAACGCCGCGUGAGUGAUGAAGGUCUUCGGAUCGUAAAACUCUGUUAUUAGGGAAGAACAUAUGUGUAAGUAACUGUGCACAUCUUGACGGUACCUAGUCAGAAAGCCACGGCUAACUACGUG
This 497-nucleotide ribosomal RNA is filed under the name uncultured bacterium. RNAcentral's name for it is "partial 16S ribosomal RNA". It matches the Rfam family "Bacterial small subunit ribosomal RNA", at positions 28 to 507 of the family's 1533-position model. The record is from RNAcentral.